This 420-nucleotide ribosomal RNA is filed under the name uncultured bacterium. Its description in RNAcentral is "bacterial SSU rRNA". It matches the Rfam family "Bacterial small subunit ribosomal RNA", at positions 358 to 770 of the family's 1533-position model. The record is from RNAcentral.
GGAAUAUUGGACAAUGGGGGCAACCCUGAUCCAGCCAUGCCGCGUGUGUGAAGAAGGCCUUCGGGUUGUAAAGCACUUUCAGCAAGGAGGAAGGCAGUACGGUUAAUACCCGUGCUGAUUGACGUUACUUGCAGAAGAAGCACCGGCUAACUCCGUGCCAGCAGCCGCGGUAAUACGGAGGGUGCAAGCGUUAAUCGGAAUAACUGGGCGUAAAGCGCGCGUAGGUGGUUAAGUCAGUCAGAUGUGAAAGCCCCGGGCUCAACCUGGGAACUGCACCUGAUACUGCUUAGCUAGAGUACGGUAGAGGGAAGUGGAAUUUCCGGUGUAGCGGUGAAAUGCGUAGAGAUCGGAAGGAACACCAGUGGCGAAGGCGACUUCCUGGACUGAUACUGACACUGAGGUGCGAAAGCGUGGGGAGCA